UACGGAGGGUGCAAGCGUUAUCCGGAUUCACUGGGUUUAAAGGGUGCGUAGGCGGGCAGGUAAGUCCGUGGUGAAAUCUCUGAGCUUAACUCAGAAACUGCCAUGGAUACUAUUUGUCUUGAAUAUUGUGGAGGUAAGCGGAAUAUGUCAUGUAGCGGUGAAAUGCUUAGAUAUGACAUAGAACACCAAUUGCGAAGGCAGCUUACUACACAGUAAUUGACGCUGAGGCACGAAAGCGUGGGGAUCAAACUGG
This 253-nucleotide ribosomal RNA is filed under the name uncultured bacterium. RNAcentral's name for it is "partial 16S ribosomal RNA". It matches the Rfam family "Bacterial small subunit ribosomal RNA", at positions 524 to 776 of the family's 1533-position model. The record is from RNAcentral.